This is a non-coding RNA of Leptodontidium sp. 2 PMI_412, 79 nucleotides long. NCBI's taxonomy places the organism in Eukaryota, Fungi, Ascomycota, Leotiomycetes, Helotiales, Leptodontidiaceae. The record is from the annotation of a GenBank genome assembly.
GACUUCAUGGUGUAAUGGUCGCACACACAGCAUUUAAUUGGAGCGCUGUGAGAUUUAGGUUCGAAUCCUAAUGAGGUCC